GCAUAUUCUUUUCAAGUUUAUGUCUUUGUGUGUUUUACGGAGGUAUACGAGCUUUAGUAUAUAUAAACGUAUGUAUGUGUAAACCAUAAAUAGUAAAACUAUAUUUAUAAAUAGUAAUAAAUAAUAUUCUUCCUUAUAUAUAUCUAGAUACAUAAAAUAAAGCCUAAAAAAAUUAUAAAAGAUCUUUACCAUAUAAUAAAAAAAUAUUUAUCGUAAGUAUCAUUCUUUCCCUGCAGGAUAAGAUAAUUUUCAGCCACAAGUAAAUCACUUCUUUCAAGGAGAAGGUGCAGCCGAAGUACAACCACAACCACAACCACAUUUUAUGGACACUAUGCAGCUGAACUUGAAUUUGAUAAUCCAGGUUAUCCAGUUGAUGGGAAUGUUGACAUGGAUUUUGAGUUGUUUCGGGGGAUGGUAAUCGGAGAAGGCUCUAACAGUGAGAUGGAAGAAUCGAGGAAUCUUUACCAAAUGGUUGGUGGAGAUAGUAACUAUAAUGAAAAUUCGGAUGACGAGUAGUGUACCGGCUAUCCUCCAACUUGAAUCUUACAU
Molecule: long non-coding RNA, 549 nt
Filed under: Nicotiana tabacum (common tobacco)
Lineage: Eukaryota; Viridiplantae; Streptophyta; Magnoliopsida; Solanales; Solanaceae
Description: long non-coding RNA (NTAB_LNC013030)
Source: RNAcentral